UGGAGCUAAGUGGUGAGUGAGAGUGGUGUGAAAAUGGUCGACAUACGCUGCUUUGUUUCAUGUAGGUAUCAUAACAACGGCUUGUAUAUUCGCAUUCCUCGGUCUCCCGGUUUCACUUUUUGAAUGACGAAUACAGACUACCGCCACCUGCUGGUAGGGAGAGUUAUUUCAUCUCAAGCAGGCGCAGAACGUAUACGUGCUAACUGGCCGUCAGCUGUAGUCUUUGCGGUGUGUUCGAGUGCAGCUAGUCGGCCAAAACAAAGGCGACGUGAGGCGGCGCAACUGAUGGCCUUCGUCGCCUCUAGUUCUUUGACGUCAGCUUGGUGUGUCCCCAGCUUUAGACAUUUUAUUAAGAAAGUA
Long non-coding RNA from Sebastes umbrosus (honeycomb rockfish), 360 nucleotides. RefSeq lists it as uncharacterized. The transcript has 3 exons. The record is from RefSeq and is a predicted model, not a curated record. Lineage: Eukaryota; Metazoa; Chordata; Actinopteri; Perciformes; Sebastidae.